AAUGUGGAUUUUGGUGUUACACCUCAAUGGAGGCAGAAAAAAUGUGGAUUUUGGGAUUACACCUGAUGGGAGGCAGUGAGAAUGUGGAUUUUGGGAUUUACAGCUGAGGGAAUGGAGGCAGUGAGGAUGUGGAUUUUGGGGUUACAUCUGAAUAGAGGCAGUAAAAAAAUGGAUUUUGGGGUUACAGCUGAGGGGAGAAUGUGGAUUUUGGGAUUUACAGCUGAGGGAAUGGAGGCAGUG
Passer domesticus (house sparrow) is the source of this 240-nucleotide long non-coding RNA. RefSeq lists it as uncharacterized. The transcript is spliced from 2 exons. The record is from RefSeq and is a predicted model, not a curated record. NCBI's taxonomy places the organism in Eukaryota, Metazoa, Chordata, Aves, Passeriformes, Passeridae.